GCGGCAAAGCUCAAAUUUGAAAUCUGGCGUCUUUGGCGUCCGAGUUGUAAUUUGAAGAAGGUAUCUUUGGGCCCGGCUCUUGUCUAUGUUCCUUGGAACAGGACGUCACAGAGGGUGAGAAUCCCGUGCGAUGAGAUGACCCGGGUCUGUGUAAAGUUCCUUCGACGAGUCGAGUUGUUUGGGAAUGCAGCUCUAAGUGGGUGGUAAAUUCCAUCUAAAGCUAAAUAUUGGCGAGAGACCGAUAGCGAACAAGUACAGUGAUGGAAAGAUGAAAAGAACUUUGAAAAGAGAGUGAAAAAGUACGUGAAAUUGUUGAAAGGGAAGGGCUUGAGAUCAGACUUGGUAUUUUGCAUGCUGCUCUCUCGGGGGCGGCCGCUGCGGUUUACCGGGCCAGCAUCGGUUUGGAGCGGCAGGAUAAUGGCGGAGGAAUGUGGCACGGCUUCUGCUGUGUGUUAUAGCCUCUGACGAUACUGCCAGCCUAGACCGAGGACUGCGGUUUUUACCUAGGAUGUUGGCAUAAUGAUCUUAAGUCGCCCGUCUUG
This 542-nucleotide ribosomal RNA is filed under the name Candida albicans. RNAcentral describes it as "partial large subunit ribosomal RNA". It matches the Rfam family "Eukaryotic large subunit ribosomal RNA", at positions 99 to 656 of the family's 3401-position model. Lineage: Eukaryota; Fungi; Ascomycota; Pichiomycetes; Serinales; Debaryomycetaceae. The record is from RNAcentral.